This 113-nucleotide ribosomal RNA is filed under the name Aeromonas hydrophila. The record is from RNAcentral. Lineage: Bacteria; Pseudomonadati; Pseudomonadota; Gammaproteobacteria; Aeromonadales; Aeromonadaceae. RNAcentral also lists the same sequence under 7 other names.
UGGCGGCCAUAGCGCCGUGGAACCACCUGAUCCCAUGCCGAACUCAGAAGUGAAACGCGGUAGCGCCGAUGGUAGUGUGGCAUUCGCCAUGCGAGAGUAGGACACUGCCAGGC